UACGUAGGCAGCAAGCGUUGUUCGGAGUUACUGGGCGUAAAGAGUAUGUAGGCGGUUCUGCAAGUCUGGUGUGAAAUCUCCCGGCCCAACUGGGAGGGUGCGCCGGAUACUGCGGGGCUAGAGUGCGGGAGAGGAGAGCGGAAUUCCUGGUGUAGCGGUGAAAUGCGUAGAUAUCAGGAGGAACACCGGCGGUGUAGACGGCUCUCUGGACCGCGACUGACGCUGAGAUACGAAAGCGUGGGGAG
RNAcentral lists this ribosomal RNA (245 nucleotides) under uncultured bacterium. Its description in RNAcentral is "partial 16S ribosomal RNA". It matches the Rfam family "Bacterial small subunit ribosomal RNA", at positions 524 to 768 of the family's 1533-position model. The record is from RNAcentral.